AUACUUUCCUAACAAGGGAGAUAUCAUGGUCAGGAUGGUAGCUUUCGUAGGGGGAGGCUCACCCAUUGCAUGUGGGAUGUGCUGACCCCUAUGGUUUUCCCAAAUUAGGGAAACUGAACUGCAUAAUUUGUGGCAGUGGGUGACUACAUUCAUAACCUCCCC
Molecule: small nuclear RNA, 162 nt
Organism: Cricetulus griseus (Chinese hamster)
Lineage: Eukaryota; Metazoa; Chordata; Mammalia; Rodentia; Cricetidae
Gene: U1
Rfam family: U1 spliceosomal RNA
About the family: U1 is a small nuclear RNA (snRNA) component of the spliceosome (involved in pre-mRNA splicing).
Source: Ensembl